GCUACGGGUGGCAGCAGUGAGGAAUAUUGGUCAAUGGGCGGGAGCCUGAACCAGCCAAGUCGCGUGAGGGAAGACGGUCCUAUGGAUUGUAAACCUCUUUAGGCGGGGAGCAAUGCCGGGCACGCGUGCCCGGAGGGAGAGUACCCGCAGAAUAAGCAUCGGCUAACUCCGUGCCAGCAGCCGCGGUAAUACGGAGGAUGCGAGCGUUAUCCGGAGGUAGUGGGGUAAAAGGGUGCGUAGGCGGAUUUUUAAGUCAGCGGUAAAAUGUCCGGGAUAAAACCGGGCCGGACGGUGAAACGGGGGAUCUUGAGUGUGCGAGAAGUAUGCGGAUGGCGUGGUGUAGCGGUGAAAGGCAUAGAUAUCUCGCGGAACUCCGAUUGCGAAGGCGGCAUACCGGCGCCCGACUGACGCGGAGGCACGAAAGCGUGGGGAUCGAACAGGAUUAGAUACCCCAGUAGUC
Molecule: ribosomal RNA, 460 nt
Filed under: uncultured bacterium
Lineage: Bacteria
Description: partial 16S ribosomal RNA
Rfam family: Bacterial small subunit ribosomal RNA
Source: RNAcentral